GACGAACGCUGGCGGCGUGCUUAACACAUGCAAGUCGAACGGUAAGGCUCCAGCUUGCUGGGGUACACGAGUGGCGAACGGGUGGGUAACACGUGGGUGACCUGCCCUGCACUUCGGGAUAAGCCUGGGAAACUGGGUCUAAUACCGGAUAGGACCGCACCGUGAGGGUGUGGUGGAAAGUUUUUUCGGUGUGGGAUGGGCCCGCGGCCUAUCAGCUUGUUGGUGGGGUAAUGGCCUACCAAGGCGGCGACGGGUAGCCGGCCUGAGAGGGUGGACGGCCACAUUGGGACUGAGACACGGCCCAGACUCCUACGGGAGGCAGCAGUGGGGAAUAUUGCACAAUGGGCGGAAGCCUGAUGCAGCGACGCCGCGUGGGGGAUGACGGCCUUCGGGUUGUAAACUCCUUUCACCAUCGACGAAGGGUUUCUGACGGUAGAUGGAGAAGAAGCACCGGCUAACUACGUGCCAGCAGCCGCGGUAAUACGUAGGGUGCGAGCGUUGUCCGGAAUUACUGGGCGUAAAGAGCUCGUAGGUGGUUUGUCGCGUCGUCUGUGAAAUUCCGGGGCUUAACUCCGGGCGUGCAGGCGAUACGGGCAUAACUUGAGUACUGUAGGGGAGACUGGAAUUCCUGGUGUAGCGGUGAAAUGCGCAGAUAUCAGGAGGAACACCGGCGGCGAAGGCGGGUCUCUGGGCAGUAACUGACGCUGAGGAGCGAAAGCAUGGGGAGCGAACAGGAUUAGAUACCCUGGUAGUCCAUGCCGUAAACGGUGGGCGCUAGGUGUGGGUUUCCUUCCACGGGAUCCGUGCCGUAGCUAACGCAUUAAGCGCCCCGCCUGGGGAGUACGGCCGCAAGGCUAAAACUCAAAGGAAUUGACGGGGGCCCGCACAAGCGGCGGAGCAUGUGGAUUAAUUCGAUGCAACGCGAAGAACCUUACCUGGGCUUGACAUAUACAGGAUCGCGCCAGAGAUGGUGUUUCCCUUGUGGCUUGUAUACAGGUGGUGCAUGGUUGUCGUCAGCUCGUGUCGUGAGAUGUUGGGUUAAGUCCCGCAACGAGCGCAACCCUUGUCUUAUGUUGCCAGCACGUUGUGGUGGGGACUCGUAAGAAACUGCCGGGGUUAACUCGGAGGAAGGUGGGGAUGACGUCAAAUCAUCAUGCCCCUUAUGUCCAGGGCUUCACACAUGCUACAAUGGUCGGUACAGUGGGUUGCCAGUCCGUGAGGGCGAGCUAAUCCCGCAAAGCCGGUCUCAGUUCGGAUCGGGGUCUGCAACUCGACCCCGUGAAGUCGGAGUCGCUAGUAAUCGCAGAUCAGCAACGCUGCGGUGAAUACGUUCCCGGGCCU
This 1341-nucleotide ribosomal RNA is filed under the name uncultured bacterium. RNAcentral's name for it is "partial 16S ribosomal RNA". It matches the Rfam family "Bacterial small subunit ribosomal RNA", at positions 28 to 1381 of the family's 1533-position model. The record is from RNAcentral.